UUCUAUAGUGGAGGAGUCAAAGAAUUCCUUGCUACAAUUAAACAACAUGUUCUUCUUCUGAGAUCCGCCGAAGAUGCAAAUGUGUUCCUUGUGAAUGAUUCUCAGCAUACACUGCAGUGCAGAAACUGGAGAAGAAAGGACAAAAUGUAAUUUUGAGGUCCCAAUAUAAGAAGCUUAAGCCAGAAUGGGUGUGUUCAUGUAGCCGUGUCUCAGAUUUUGGUCUAAUGAAGACAAACAAUAAAGGAAGGGUGAUUUCAUUCAGUGAGAAGCCUAAAGAAUAAGACCUGAAAGCAAUACAAGUAGAUACAACACUCUUGGAACUUUCACAGGAAGGGGCUGAAAAGAAACCAUACAUUGCUUCCAUGGGAGUGUAUGUGUUCAAGAAGGACUUACUUCUUAAUCUACAAAGAUUGUUGACUCAAUAGUAUCGCAUGGAUGAAUUCCGUGGAAGGACAGAGUAAAUAGAAUCCUAGGAUUGGACUUAUUUCGGUUUAAGCAAACAUUUUCUUGAAUUUGACUAUGUAAUUCU
This is a long non-coding RNA of Arachis duranensis, 529 nucleotides long. RefSeq lists it as uncharacterized. The record is from RefSeq and is a predicted model, not a curated record. Lineage: Eukaryota; Viridiplantae; Streptophyta; Magnoliopsida; Fabales; Fabaceae. The transcript has 5 exons.